This 451-nucleotide ribosomal RNA is filed under the name uncultured bacterium. RNAcentral describes it as "partial 16S ribosomal RNA". It matches the Rfam family "Bacterial small subunit ribosomal RNA", at positions 354 to 796 of the family's 1533-position model. The record is from RNAcentral.
GUGGGGAAUAUUGGACAAUGGGGGGAACCCUGAUCCAGCCAUGCCGCGUGUGUGAAGAAGGCCUUUUGGUUGUAAAGCACUUUAAGCGAGGAGGAGGCUACCGAGAUUAAUACUCUUGGAUAGUGGACGUUACUCGCAGAAUAAGCACCGGCUACCUCUGUGCCAGCAGCCGCGGUAAUACAGAGGGUGCAAGCGUUAAUCGGAUUUACUGUGCGUAAAGCGCGCGUAGGUGGCCAAUUAAGUCAAAUGUGAAAUCCCCGAGCUUAACUUGGGCAUUGCAUGCGAUACUGGUUGGCUAGAGUAUGGGAGAGGAUGGUAGAAUUCCAGGUGUAGCGGUGAAAUGCGUAGAGAUCUGGAGGAAUACCGAUGGCGAAGGCAGCCAUCUGGCCUAAUACUGACACUGAGGUGCGAAAGCAUGGGGAGCAAACAGGAUUAGAUACCCGAGUAGUCC